Molecule: ribosomal RNA, 450 nt
Filed under: uncultured bacterium
Lineage: Bacteria
Description: partial 16S ribosomal RNA
Rfam family: Bacterial small subunit ribosomal RNA
Source: RNAcentral
GUGGGGAAUUUUGGACAAUGGGCGCAAGCCUGAUCCAGCAAUGCCGCGUGCAGGAAGAAGGCCUUCGGGUUGUAAACUGCUUUUGUACGGAACGAAACGGUCCGGGUUAAUACCCUGGGCUAAUGACGGUACCGUAAGAAUAAGCACCGGCUAACUACGUGCCAGCAGCCGCGGUAAUACGUAGGGUGCAAGCGUUAAUCGGAAUUACUGGGCGUAAAGCGUGCGCAGGCGGUUUUGUAAGACAGGCGUGAAAUCCCCGGGCUCAACCUGUGAAUUGCGCUUGUGACUGCAAGGCUGGAGUGCGGCAGAGGGGGAUGGAAUUCCGCGUGUAGCAGUGAAAUGCGUAGAUAUGCGGAGGAACACCGAUGGCGAAGGCAAUCCCCUGGGCCUGCACUGACGCUCAUGCACGAAAGCGUGGGGAGCAAACAGGAUUAGAUACCCUAGUAGUCC